AUUGAACGCUGGCGGCAUGCCUUACACAUGCAAGUCGAACGGCAGCACGGGAGCAAUCCUGGUGGCGAGUGGCGAACGGGUGAGUAAUAUAUCGGAACGUGCCCGGUCGUGGGGGAUAACGUAGCGAAAGCUACGCUAAUACCGCAUACGAUCUACGGAUGAAAGCGGGGGAUCGCAAGACCUCGCGCGAUUGGAGCGGCCGAUAUCAGAUUAGGUAGUUGGUGAGGUAAAGGCUCACCAAGCCGACGAUCUGUAGCUGGUCUGAGAGGACGACCAGCCACACUGGGACUGAGACACGGCCCAGACUCCUACGGGAGGCAGCAGUGGGGAAUUUUGGGACAAUGGGCGCAAGCCUGAUCCAGCAAUGCCGCGUGCAGGAUGAAGGCCU
Molecule: ribosomal RNA, 388 nt
Filed under: uncultured bacterium
Lineage: Bacteria
Description: bacterial SSU rRNA
Rfam family: Bacterial small subunit ribosomal RNA
Source: RNAcentral